GGUCUCUUAGUGUAGUGGAAACACUCUGGACUUUGACCGUGCCGCCGGAUGCCAUCCAGCAACCUCGGUUCGAACCCGAGAGAGACUG
Transfer RNA from Vitrella brassicaformis, 88 nucleotides. It matches the Rfam family "tRNA". Rfam says of the family: Transfer RNA (tRNA) molecules are approximately 80 nucleotides in length. Their secondary structure includes four short double-helical elements and three loops (D, anti-codon, and T loops). Further hydrogen bonds mediate the characteristic L-shaped molecular structure. tRNAs have two regions of fundamental functional importance: the anti-codon, which is responsible for specific mRNA codon recognition, and the 3' end, to which the tRNAs corresponding amino acid is attached (by aminoacyl-tRNA synthetases). tRNAs cope with the degeneracy of the genetic code in two manners: having more than one tRNA (with a specific anti-codon) for a particular amino acid; and 'wobble' base-pairing, i.e. permitting non-standard base-pairing at the 3rd anti-codon position. Lineage: Eukaryota; Vitrellaceae. The record is from Rfam.